CGGCGGCUGCCCGGUGCGCGAGCGUCAAAACAUUCUCUGGGCCUAUUUCGUUCCAAUGGGAGCUGUCCCUGACGGGAUCCUGGUCUCGUUACAUGGCGCCCACCUGCUUAGCAGGCCCCAGGGACGAACCGACGGGGACGGCCAUGGUGGCUUCCGC
This 157-nucleotide non-coding RNA is filed under the name Geminicoccaceae bacterium. Its description in RNAcentral is "6S RNA". It matches the Rfam family "6S / SsrS RNA". Rfam says of the family: E. coli 6S RNA was the first non coding RNA to be sequenced, but its function was unknown until recently. The record is from RNAcentral. Lineage: Bacteria; Pseudomonadati; Pseudomonadota; Alphaproteobacteria; Geminicoccales; Geminicoccaceae.